RNAcentral lists this ribosomal RNA (253 nucleotides) under uncultured bacterium. Its description in RNAcentral is "partial 16S ribosomal RNA". It matches the Rfam family "Bacterial small subunit ribosomal RNA", at positions 524 to 776 of the family's 1533-position model. The record is from RNAcentral.
UACGGAGGGUGCAAGCGUUAAUCGGAUUCAUUGGGCGUAAAGGGCGCGUAGGCGGAAAUGUAAGUUGGACGUGAAAGACCGAAGCUUAACUUCGGAAACGCGUACAAGACUGCUUUUCUAGAGGAUAGGUGGGGAAAGCGGAAUUCCACGUGUAGCGGUGAAAUGCGUAGAUAUGUGGAGGAACACCGGUGGCGAAGGCGGCUUUCUAACUUAUACCUGACGCUGAGGCGCGAAAGCGAGGGGAGCAAACAGG